Molecule: non-coding RNA, 2972 nt
Organism: Manis javanica (Malayan pangolin)
Lineage: Eukaryota; Metazoa; Chordata; Mammalia; Pholidota; Manidae
Source: RefSeq, a predicted model, not a curated record
GGAUUGGUGCGGAGGAGGGGGGGAGGGCCCGGGAACCAGCCGGGGAGUAGAAUCCCGCCUCGCUGGUGUACUCCACGUCAUCUCUGGGCUCUCGGUUCUCUCCCCCAACCCUCCGAGUGGGCCCCUCGCCCCGCCCCCGCGUCCCCAAGGCCUAGCACCGCAUCUGCACUAAAUGUCAGCUCUCUCCCCAUCAUCCGGCUGAGAAAACUGAGGCCCACAUAGAUGCGGCGACUUGCCAGGACACCGCUCUGCCUAUGUGGACGGUGUUACAGGUAUUUUACUACGUGCUGGCAACCAAACCGAAAGUCCAACUUCGUCGCAACCGAGCGGCCUUGGAGGAUGCAGCGCCGUGGGCGACGGCGAGCGAGCGACCGGGGGCGCGCGCCUGGAGCCCGGGGACCCAGAUGAGAACCAGGGAAGCACAGAGAAGUCACCUAACCAGGGGCCGCGCUGCCCGGGCCGAACCCCAGCUCUUGGGGCUCCCCGGGCUCCCCGCCCCCACCCUUGCGUAGGGGCCCUAUUCUCGCUGCGGGGUAGGGACCUGGCAGGCCCCGCCCUGCCCCAGGGGAAGUGAGAAUGAGAGGCCCUCCCUCGCAUCCUCACCACUUCCUCCCGGGAGCCGUGGCUGUGAGAGGGGGCUGGGGAGGAGAGGGGAGGCCUGCAGGGGUGGCAGUUCUGGGGAGCGAGCAGCUCAGGUUCAGAGGGGGGUUGGUGGUCUCUCUGCCGCACGUCAUGCAGGGCCUGGCGUUUAUGUGCCUUAUUUGCCUGGGGCCCCCCAAACCUAUUCCUUCCUCGGGGCCCCUUCCUAAUCUACUGAGUCUCUGCCUGCGCCUUGCCACCCCUGGUAGGCCUGCCACCUUCUCCCUGCUCCCCGUGCUGCCUACCUCACCCCCAUUCAAUCUACUCCACACUGGGGCCCAGAUCCUUUUUCGUGGCACCCACCAAGUGCUGGUCUACAAAGCCCUUCAAGUCUGAGAUCCAGCAGGCCUCUGUACCAGCCUCCCUGUCCUGCAUCUCACAGCUGCCAGCAAGGCCGCCUGGAUUCCAAUCCGCCCUCCAAAGAUGUGGAGCACGUGGAGCCCUACUUUGACUGGAGCCUCAGUUUGUCUAUCUGAAAAAUGGGAACAGACAUCCCUCCUUGAGAUGCAGCUGUGGGGGUUUAUGGAAACUUGUAGAGCUUGGAUUUCCCAUCUUGGCAGCAUGGAUGCAUCUCCACAUUCAUCAAUUCACUUAUUCCUUAAUUACUUCACUAACUCAUCCAUUAUAUUAUUCACUCAUUUGUUCAUUUACUUAUUCACUCACUCACUGAUGCACCCAUCUGCUACUCCCCAAUCCCUAGGCAGCUUGGGAAGGACGUCAGAGGCCACAGGACCAUGGGUAGGGACAGCCCCAGGGUCUUUAAGCAGAAACAACAGCUUCCAUUUAACUGAACCAAUACCCGGAAGCCUCCCCAGAGAAGGCUCAGUUGGGGUACCACCCCCAACCGGCUGCUGUCUGCCACACCACUUCCGUCUGUCCCCCAAGAAAUGGGCCAGUACCUCAAAGAGCCUUGGGAGGAUGCUGGCUGAUAACAGGAAAAGCCCAUAUAUAGUUGAUAUAUAGAGACGAGGCACAUUACUGAGGCUGACCGUAUGCUGGGGCCUCCAGGGACAGGAACACCGAGUGGGUCCCUGUGGCCCCUCCUGUGCUCUUCUUGACUUGGCUUAAUGCUUUCUGAACAUUUGGACAUUCCCAGUCCAGGCCUGGCCCAGAGUGUCCCUGGGAAGGAAAUGCCUGGGUUUCACUCCAAUUUAAUCGUUUUUCAGUUUUUUUUUUUUUGUAUUUAUGGCAAGGGAAACUAGUUAUCCAUUCCUGGUGGUGACAUGGAGGUUCCCUUUUGAAAUAUAUUUAAUGAAGCCAACACAGAAAAGGGGAGCAAACUAAAAGAAAAAUAGUGAUAUCGCUCUGAAGCGUGCUUCUUCAUUUUGGCGGUUGUUUCCUGUCCAUGAUAAAUGAUGGCAGAAAACCCUCACCCAGCACACAGGGCCGGGCACACAGUAGGUGCCCAACAGAAGAGAUGAAUGAGGGUGCUUGAGACUGGCCAAAAGCAAAAAAACAAAACAAUACAAAUACACUUCUGAAAUUAGUGAAGAACUCAACAUCUUCUGCCUCCAACGUCUACCUGUGAAAGGGCGUAAUCUGGGUCUGGAUACACAGCACGUGCACAUUGAAUGUACACUGGAUGAGCUCAGGGGUCCUUCUCAUCCUGCGGGGUGGAGGAGGGUGGUACGCGAAAUUGUUUUCUGCCUGCGCAGGAGCCCUGCCCAACUCACUUUGGACAGUCGAUCAAUCAACAAGCACUGGACUGAGCAGCUCUUCCGGGCCUGCUGGGGGCUGGGGACAGUGCAGCCUCGGGGAGUAAAAGACAGGGCCACCGGUCGUAAAGCGGGCUCUGCCAGGUGUCAAUCUGGUUCCAUCAGUGCUGAAGGGGGCUGACGCCGCGCCAAUUUCCUUCUCUGUAAAUUGGUCCUGUUAGACUGGAAAGGGCGGGUGCCAGCCCAGAGGGAAGGGCCUGGGUCCCUGCCGACGGCCAAACACCUGCACUGGACCGGGGAGGUGGCUGCGGUUCCCGCUCCAGGCUGGGGCGGAAGCAGCGCAGGAGGGGAGGGGCGGGUACUGCCGCCUUUGCCGGUAACCUGAUCCUUAGGAAUGCGCAAGGGCCAGACACGCCCCCAGACCGAGGUCGGCGCCCCUUCCCCGGCCGCCCAGCGCGGUCCUGCCACCCGGGGACAGUCCCCCGCACAAGCCCCAUCCACCCCGGUGGGGUCCUGAGUGCCAGUAGGGGGACCAUCCCUAGCAACGUCACCCCCCAGAGGCUCCCUCUGUCUCAGCCCUUUAUGCUUCCUUCUUAAUUCCUUUUUUCUCUUUGGACUUUCUGUUUUAUCAAGUUGAUUUUAAGUGUCUGGGUUUUCAAAUAAAGACUAAACUUUAAA